GACGAACGCUGGCGGCGUGCUUAACACAUGCAAGUCGAACGGAAAGGCCCCAGCUUGCUGUAGUGCUCGAGUGGCGAACGGGUGAGUAACACGUGGGCAAUCUGCCCCUCACUCUGGGAUAAGCCUUGGAAACUGCGUCUAAUACCGGAUAGGACCUUUCUCCUCAUGUGGUUCGGCUGAAAGUUUUUCGGUUCAGGAUGAGCCCGCGGCCUAUCAGCUUGUUGGUGGGGUAAUGGCCUACCAAGGCGACGACGGGUAGCCGGCCUGAGAGGGUGAUCGGCCACAUUGGGACUGAGAUACGGCCCAGACUCCUACGGGAGGCAGCAGUGGGGAAUAUUGCACAAUGGGCGAAAGCCUGAUGCAGCGACGCCGCGUGAGGGAUGACGGCCUUCGGGUUGUAAACCUCCUUCAGUAGGGACGAAGCGCAAGUGACGGUACCUGCAGAAGAAGCACCGGCUAACUACGUG
RNAcentral lists this ribosomal RNA (467 nucleotides) under uncultured bacterium. Its description in RNAcentral is "partial 16S ribosomal RNA". It matches the Rfam family "Bacterial small subunit ribosomal RNA", at positions 28 to 507 of the family's 1533-position model. The record is from RNAcentral.